GAACGAAAGCAUGGGUAGCGAAGAGGAUUAGAUACCCUCGUAGUCCAUGCCGUAAACGAUGUGUGUUAGACGUUGGAAAUUUAUUUUCAGUGUCGCAGCGAAAGCGAUAAACACACCGCCUGGGGAGUACGACCGCAAGGUUAAAACUCAAAUGAAUUGACGGGGACCCGCACAAGUAGUGGAGCAUGUGGUUUAAUUCGAAGAUACGCGCAGAACCUUACCAACACUUGACAUGUUCGUCGCGACUCUAAGAGAUUAGAGUUUUCGGUUCGGCCGGACGAAACACAGGUGCUGCAUGGCUGUCGUCAGCUCGUGUCGUGAGAUGUUGGGUUAAGUCCCGCAACGAGCGCAACCCUCACUUUUAGUUGCCAUCAUUAAGUUGGGCACUCUGAAAGAACUGCCAGUGAUAAGCUGGAGGAAGGUGGGGAUGACGUCAAGUCCUCAUGGCCCUUACGUGUUGGGCUACACACGUGCUACAAUGGUAUCUACAACAGGAAGCAAGACUGCGAGGUCAAGCAAAUCCUUAAAAGAUACCUCAGUUCGGAUUGCACUCUGCAACUCGAGUGCAUGAAGCUGGAAUUACUAGUAAUCGUGGAUCAGCGUGCCACGGUGAAUGCGUUCCCGGGUCUUGUACACACCGCCCGUCACACCAUGGGAGUUGGUUCUACCUUAAGGCAAGGUUUCAAACCCUUGACCACGGUAUAGUCAGCGACUGGGGUGAAGUCGUAACAAGGUAGCCGUAGGGGAACCUGCGGCUG
Molecule: ribosomal RNA, 758 nt
Filed under: marine metagenome
Description: bacterial SSU rRNA
Rfam family: Bacterial small subunit ribosomal RNA
Source: RNAcentral